This 1014-nucleotide ribosomal RNA is filed under the name uncultured bacterium. RNAcentral's name for it is "partial 16S ribosomal RNA". The record is from RNAcentral.
CCCCCCCCCCCCCNCCCGGCNGCCCCNUCCCNUCCCCNCNGGGGCCCGCNNCCCGGCCGCUGCCGGACUCCGCUCGUACUCNACCGACCAUAGAGUUCUAGUUCGACACCUGCGCUNCGACCGCGGCUGGUUCUAGGUACGGCCUACCUCACCACUAGUCUCACGUUACGACACCGGGCACGCCCACGGGGUACGCUAUGCUACUACUAGGGUACGGCGACGUAGGCGGACCGGGUACGACGGACACUACCACUACGGUACCUACUCCCUACUACGUACGUCGGGGGACUUCCCCGUCCGGGACCACCUUCCCGCUUCACCUANCCCGCCUACCCGUACCCUUNCCGGGUAGACCCGCCGGGGACUACCUAUACCGGGACCCCUAUAGCCGCGUACUAUNUGACACUUCGACGGCCGUACUACGUUACCUGGUACUAUUUACNGGCUAUCACCGUAUUCAGGGGCCGGGGGGGGUUUACCACACGGGCCCCACCCCACACCGGGGGCNGUACCCCGUUACCUUCCCCCCGUUCNNCGGCUUCGGGGUNCCUUCGGNCGGUUACCGGGGGACUACGGACCUUCCNCGGGGCCACCCUACCUUUGGGGUACACCCCUCUCGUACGGUUACCCNACCGGGGUACCCACGUACUCUUCCCCUUACCGGGGGUACGGACCACGGGACAACGNUAGGGGGGUAACCGGUUUNNCUANUAGGGGGGACCCCACNCUUAGGGGGGGGCCGGUCCUCUCUGGCCCCUUCGNUACCUUNCCCCUACGGGCGCCACUUUUACUCCGCUGGGCGGGUUUACGGGGGUUACGGAACUCUGUUACCNCGGGGGGCCCCUUNUUUCCNGGGGGGGUUUCUACGGUUUUCACUACNCGGCCCCCCUANUACUUUCCGGGUNUCCGGGGGGGUACCACNACCGGUACCACUACUUNACCCCCUCCGGCCCCCGUGUGUCUUCUNCCUACCUAUACCCCCUUCGGGGGUUAANUNCGGGGGGGGGUGNCCUU